Molecule: ribosomal RNA, 705 nt
Filed under: uncultured bacterium
Lineage: Bacteria
Description: bacterial SSU rRNA
Rfam family: Bacterial small subunit ribosomal RNA
Source: RNAcentral
CCGAUGUUACCACUUAGUUGUUGUGAGGCUCGGCCNUGGCCAGUAAUGCAGUUAACCACAUUAAGUGUACCNGCUUGGGGAGUACGGUCGCAAGAUUAAAACUCAAAGGAAUAGACGGGGACCCGCNCAAGCGGUGGAGCAUGUGGUUUAAUUCGACGAUACACGAAGAACCUUACCUGGACUUGACAUAGUAAGAACUUUCUAGAGAUAGAUUGGUGUCUGCUUGCAGAAACUUAUAUACAGGUGCUGCACGGCUGUCGUCAGCUCGUGUCGUGAGAUGUUGGGUUAAGUCCCGCAACGAGCGCAACCCUCGUCAUUAGUUGCUAACAGUUCGGCUGAGAACUCUAAUGAGACUGCCUACGCAAGUAGGAGGAAGGUGAGGACGACGUCAAGUCAUCAUGGCCCUUACGUCCAGGGCUACACACGUGCUACAAUGGGGUAUACAAAGAGCAGCAAUACGGUGACGUGGAGCAAAUCUCAAAAAUAUCUCCCAGUUCGGAUUGUAGUCUGCAACUCGACUACAUGAAGUUGGAAUCGCUAGUAAUCGUAGAUCAGCUAUGCUACGGUGAAUACGUUCCCGGGCCUUGUACACACCGCCCGUCACACCAUGGGAGUGGGUUGCACCAGAAGUAGCUAGUCUAACCUUCGGGAGGACGGUUACCACGGUGUGAUUCAUGACUGGGGUGAAGUCGUAACAAGGUAACC